AACGAACGCUGGCGGCAUGCCUAACACAUGCAAGUCGAACGAGACCUUCGGGUCUAGUUGCGCACGGGUGCGUAACGCGUGGGAACCUGCCCUUAGGUUCGGAAUAACUCCCCGAAAGGGGUGCCAAUACCGGAUAAUGUCUUCGGACCAAAGAUUUAUCGCCUUUGGAUGGGCCCGCGUUGGAUUAGCUAGUUGGUAGGGUAAAAGCCUACCAAGGCGACGAUCCAUAGCUGGUCUGAGAGGAUGAUCAGCCACACUGGGAAUGAGACACGGCCCAGACUCCUACGGGAGGCAGCAGUGGGGAAUAUUGGACAAUGGGCGAAAGCCUGAUCCAGCAAUGCCGCGUGAGUGAUGAAGGCCUUAGGGUUGUAAAGCUCUUUUACCCGGGAUGAUAAUGACAGUACCGGGAGAAUAAGCUCCGGCUAACUACGUG
RNAcentral lists this ribosomal RNA (433 nucleotides) under uncultured bacterium. RNAcentral describes it as "partial 16S ribosomal RNA". It matches the Rfam family "Bacterial small subunit ribosomal RNA", at positions 29 to 507 of the family's 1533-position model. The record is from RNAcentral.